This 253-nucleotide ribosomal RNA is filed under the name uncultured bacterium. RNAcentral describes it as "partial 16S ribosomal RNA". It matches the Rfam family "Bacterial small subunit ribosomal RNA", at positions 524 to 776 of the family's 1533-position model. The record is from RNAcentral.
UACGUAGGCAGCAAGCGUUGUUCGGAAUUACUGGGCGUAAAGAGUGUGUAGGCGGUGCUCUAAGUUCGGUGUGAAAUCUCCCGGCUCAACUGGGAGGGUGCGCCGAAAACUGGGGUGCUGGAGCGCGGGAGAGGAAGGCGGAAUUCCUGGUGUAGCGGUGAAAUGCGUAGAUAUCAGGAGGAACACCGGCGGUGUAGACGGCUUUCUGGACCGUAGCUGACGCUGAGACACGAAAGCGUGGGUAGCAAACAGG